GAUGAACGCUGGCGGCGUGCUUAACACAUGCAAGUCGAACGGAAAGGCCCAAGCUUGCUUGGGUACUCGAGUGGCGAACGGGUGAGUAACACGUGGGUGAUCUGCCCUGCACUUCGGGAUAAGCCUGGGAAACUGGGUCUAAUACCGGAUAGGACGAUGGUUUGGAUGCCAUUGUGGAAAGUUUUUUCGGUGUGGGAUGAGCUCGCGGCCUAUCAGCUUGUUGGUGGGGUAAUGGCCUACCAAGGCGUCGACGGGUAGCCGGCCUGAGAGGGUGUACGGCCACAUUGGGACUGAGAUACGGCCCAGACUCCUACGGGAGGCAGCAGUGGGGAAUAUUGCACAAUGGGCGCAAGCCUGAUGCAGCGACGCCGCGUGGGGGAUGACGGCCUUCGGGUUGUAAACUCCUAUCGCUAGGGACGAAGCGUUUUUGUGACGGUACCUGGAGAAGAAGCACCGGCUAACUACGUG
This 468-nucleotide ribosomal RNA is filed under the name uncultured bacterium. RNAcentral describes it as "partial 16S ribosomal RNA". It matches the Rfam family "Bacterial small subunit ribosomal RNA", at positions 28 to 507 of the family's 1533-position model. The record is from RNAcentral.